GGGCCUGUAGCUCAGUUGGUUAGAGCUGACCGCUCAUAACGGUCUGGUCACAGGUUCGAGUCCUGUCGGGCCCACCA
Molecule: transfer RNA, 77 nt
Filed under: Rhizomicrobium palustre
Lineage: Bacteria; Pseudomonadati; Pseudomonadota; Alphaproteobacteria; Micropepsales; Micropepsaceae
Also listed under: 1 other name
Description: tRNA-Ile
Rfam family: tRNA
About the family: Transfer RNA (tRNA) molecules are approximately 80 nucleotides in length. Their secondary structure includes four short double-helical elements and three loops (D, anti-codon, and T loops).
Source: RNAcentral